UUAGGAAUAUUGCGCAAUGGACGAAAGUCUGACGCAGCGACGCCGCGUGGGUGAGGAAGGCCUUCGGGUCGUAAAGCCCUUUUAGCAGGGACGAAAAAUGACGGUACCUGCAGAAAAAGCACCUGCUAACUACGUGCCAGCAGCAGCGGUAAUACGUAGGGUGCGAGCGUUAUUCGGAAUCACUGGGCGUAAAGCGCAUGUAGGCGGUUUGGUUAGUCUGGUGUGAAAGACCAUGGCUCAACCAUGGAAGUGCAUUAGAUACUGCCAGACUGGAGUGCAGGAGAGGAGAGCGGAAUUCCCGGUGUAGAGGUGAAAUUCGUAGAUAUCGGGAGGAACAACAGAGGCGAAGGCGGCUCUCUGGACUGCAACUGACGCUGAGAUGCGAAAGCGUGGGGAGCAAACA
RNAcentral lists this ribosomal RNA (403 nucleotides) under uncultured prokaryote. RNAcentral describes it as "bacterial SSU rRNA". It matches the Rfam family "Bacterial small subunit ribosomal RNA", at positions 355 to 774 of the family's 1533-position model. The record is from RNAcentral.